AAGUUCCUUCAACACAGUCCAAAGUUCCUUCAACACAGUCCAAAGGUCAUUCAACACAGCCCAAAGUUCCUUCAACACAGUUCAAAGUUCCUUCAACACAGUCCAAAGGUCAUUCAACACAGCCCAAAGUUCCUUCAACACAGUUCAAAGUUCCUUCAACGCAGUCCAAAGUUCCUUCAACACAGUUCAAUGUUCCUUCAACACAGUCCAAAGUUCCUUCAACACAGUCCAAAGUUCCUUCAACACAGUCUAAAGGUCCUUCAACACAGUCCACAGUUCCUUCAACACAGUCCAAAGUUCCUUCAACACGGUUCAAUGUUCCUUCAACACAGUCCAAAGUUCCUUCAACACAGUCCAAAGUUCCUUCAACACAGUCCAAAGUUCCUUCAACACGGUUCAAUGUUCCUUCAACACGGUUCAAAGUUCCUUCAACACAGUCCAAAGGUCAUUCAACACGGUUCAAUGUUCCUUCAACACAGUCCAAAGUUCCUUCCCCUAAUCCUCAGUUCCUCCUGGUGGUCCGUUGCAGAACAAACUCCCCUCUCAUAUUCCAUAAACUGCCUUCAAAGAGAAAAGUAUGAAAGAAGGAGAAAACCUUUGAUCAUUCAUCUUUUUCGCGAUCAUUCAUCUUAUCAACUUUUUCCAUCUCACAUCAUAAGAGUUCUUUCUCGUCUCUUCACCGCGUCACGUUCUUCAUGAUUUCGAGCCGUUCCUCGUCUCAUAACAGUUUCCUGGUCUUCCACCUGUCGUAGAUCAGUGCACAGAUCAAUGAGUGGUUUCUCCACCACGUCUGGUCUGUGGACCUCAUACUUUUUUCAUGUUAGGGUUUGAACUGAAGGCAGACUUUAACAUUCUACUUCAGAAGUCACAUGAUCUUGGUUUGGCUCUCACUCAUACUCUGAGAUUCAACGUGACUUCCUGGUGACAUGAGGGUUUCAGACUUUUAAAAACCUGUUUGUAAAUCACUCCUGUGCAAACAGUUGUGAUUGUGUGUGAAGGAGGAGGAGGAGGAGGAGGAGAAGGAGGUCGUGAACUCCUCAAGGCUUCUCAGAAACACUGUGACCUUUGGACCCGAGGCUGGUGAUCAUAAAAGGCCGGUGAGACUAAUGAUGAGCUGCUUCAGACUCUUUCAGGACGUCAGCUGCAGUUAUGUCACGAAAGUCUUGGAUUGAGGAAACUUUCCUCAAGCGUGAGUGUGUGAAGUUCAUUCCUUCCUCCCGGGACCUUCACAGAUGUUUUCCAGUUUGUCAAGUCUGCCAAAACUUAAUCAGAUGUUGCUGUGGUCGUCUGAUUGGAGAACACUUGUGGGAGGAGUCACAUCCUCCCAUGUCCCUCUGUCCUGCUCCUGGUCAGGACCUGGAUGAAGACUGGUCCAUGGAGCUCCACACCAAAGCCACGCCCACUAAUGCGUACGGAACCAUCGACUUUCAGGACACGGCAACGCGUGUCUGUCGCGCCAAGUUCGUACGCGUGGCCGUGGACUCGAGGGCGGAGUCAGUGCUGCAGCUGAUGCAGAGGGAGUGGCAGAUGGACAAACCCAAACUUCUGCUGACGGUGCACGGGGGAUCAGAGAACUUCAGUCUGCCUCUUAAGGUCCAGCAGGCGUUCAGUAAAGGUCUGAUCACUGCUGCUCUGAGCACCGGAGCCUGGAUCCUCACUGACGGCAUCAACACAGGUGUGUCUAGGUUUGUAGGUGAGGCAGUGAAAAUGUUCGGGGGUCACGACCUGAGGAAGAGGAACACGGUCGGUCUCACGCCGUGGGGUUUGAUCGACAACAACACGGACCUCGUCGGUCCAGAUGUGUUCAGACAUUAUCAGCCUCUGGGGAACCCACUGAGCAAGAGAGCCUGUCUCAAUGGUUUCCACUCCCACUUCCUGUUGGUGGACGAUGGAACGCUGGGGAAACAUGGCUGCCAGCAAGGCCUCAGGAGGAAGCUGGAGAAACACAUCCAGCUUCAGAAGAUACAUCCUCGUCUGAACCAUGGCGUACCUGUGGUGUGUGUGCUGGUGGAGGGAGGAGCAGCGCUGGUGUCCACAGUGCUGGAUUAUGUCAGCAGCGUUCCUCCUGUGCCCGUCAUCGUGUUGGAAGGCUCGGGCAGAGCCGCCGAUCUGCUCGCCUUCUUACACAAGCAGACGGCCGACGACAGGCACCUGGUUGGAGACAUGAAGGAGGACUUCCUCGUCAGGAUUGGUGACGUGUUUAAAGUGGACCGAGCAGAAUCUUCUCACCUCUACGACCUGUUCCUGCAGUGUAUGGAUCACAGACAGUCUAUCACCAUCUUUGACUCCGAGUCAGAGGACCAGAUGACUCCUGAUGCAGCCAUUUUGUCUGCCACACUGAAAGGGACCAGAGCUGGUCCUGCAGAGCAGCUCAGUUUGACGCUGGCCUGGGACAGAGCGGACGUGGCGCAGAAAGACGUCCUGCUGUACGGACAACACUGGCAGGCUGGUUCCCUGGAGCGAGCCAUGCUGGACGCUCUCGUCAUGGACCGCGUCAGUUUUGUCAAACUGUUGAUUGACAACGGAAUGACCAUGAGUCGCUUCCUCACUGUGGAUCGACUGGAGGAGCUCUACAACACGCCUCAGGGACAGACGGACCGUUUCCUGCGUCACCUUGUUGAAGACGCUAAACAGACGUCCCUCCCCCUUGGUUACCGCCUCUCCAUCAUCGACAUGGGCGUGGUGGUGGAGUAUCUGAUAGGCGGAGCUUAUCGCAGCACGUACACACGCAAACACUUCAGAGCAGCGUACUGCCGCCUGCAGGACAAAGAGGGAAGACGCAUGAGCUCCGCCUCCUUUUACAAACAGAGGCGGGGACUGAUAUCAAGCUCCCUGAGUGGGAGGAGCCUCCAGGAGCAGCAGUUCUUCAGAACGGCUCAGCCGUACAAAAGCAAGCAUCAGGACGUGUCCCUGAGCAGCAGCAGCAGCAGUGGUGUUGGUGGUGUUGAUGAACUCACCCUGGGUCCAGGUCUCGUCUCCGCCCCUCCGCUCGCGCCCUUUAACUUCAACGACCUGUUUGUGUGGGCCGUCCUUCAGCAGCGGCAGCAGAUGGCGCUGUUUCUGUGGCAACACGGCGAGGAGGCGCUGGCCCGAGCUACGGUGGCCUGUAAGCUUUACCGCUCCAUGGCCUUCGAGGCUCGACAGAGCAGCAUGGACGACAACAUGGCCGACAGAUUCAAGGCCUACUCACUUGAGUUCGGUCAGCUGGCCGUGGACGUGUUGGACACGGCGUUCCGUCAGAACGAGCAGAUGUCCAUGAAGCUGCUGACGUCAGAGAUGGAGGCGUGGAGUGACUUCACGUGUCUGCAGAUGGCCGUGUCGUCGUGUCACAGACCGUUUGUGUCUCACUCGUGCACACAGACGCUGCUCACGGACCUGUGGAGCGGUCCACUCAACAUGAGCAAAAACUCCUUCCUCAAGAUCCUCUUGAGUCUUGUGCUGCCCCCUGCUGUUUUGCUGCUGGAGUUUAAAAGUAAAGCAGAGAUGUGUCACGUGCCUCAGUCUCAUGAAUCCGUGCUGUUUGGACUCGACGCGGUGACGUCGGUGCAGGAGGAGAACGAUCCCACGCUGAAGGUGGAUCAGGAUGAAGAGCUCGGCCCGACGUGUCCUGUCUCAGAAAGUGUCUCCUCUGUGACGGUGCACUGUCUCUCCUGGAUUAAACGACUCUAUGGAUUCUACACAGCUCCAGUCGUCAAGUUCUGGUUUCACACAGUGUUCUACUUGGCCUUCCUGAUGUUGUUCUCCUUCGUGGUCCUGGUGAAGAUGGAGGACCAGCCCAGUGUGCAGGAGUGGUUGGUCAUCGCUUACAUCCUGUCCACAGCAGUGGAGAAAAUCAGAGAGGUUCUGAUGUCUGAGCCAAGGAAGCUGAGCCACAAGCUCAAGAUUUGGUUUUCCGAAUAUUGGAACAAGUCGGAUUUCAUCGCCAUCCUGCUCUUCCUGGCCGGACUGACACUGCGCUGGCACGCUGACCCCUACAGGACGGCGGGACGCAUCGCGUACUGUCUGGACAUCAUCUUCUGGUUCAUCAGGGUGACGGAUCUGCUGGCUGUCAACCAACACGCUGGGCCUUACCUCACCAUGAUCACCAAAAUGACCAGUAACAUGUUCUUCAUCGUGGUCAUGAUGGCGAUCGUGCUGCUGAGCUUCGGCGUGUCCAGGAAAGCCAUCCUGUCUCCAGACGAGGAUCCGUCGUGGACUCUCGCUCGAGACGUGGUCUUCCAGCCGUACUGGAUGAUCUACGGAGAAGUCUACGCCACAGAGAUUAACCCGUGUGACGACGGCGUUCCCUGCGCUCCUGCCUCGUUCCUGACUCCGUUCCUUCAGGCCGUCUACAUGUUCUUCCAGUACAUCAUCAUGGUCAACAUUCUCAUCGCCUUUUUUAACAACAUCUACUUUGACAUGGCGUCCACGUCCAGCCGACUGUGGCGAUACAACCGCCAUCGUUACAUCAUCACGUACCAGGAGAGGCCGUGGCUUCCUCCUCCGCUCAUCAUCCUCAGUCACAUGACCCUGGCUCUGACCGCCAUCUACACGAGGCUGAGUGGAGACGCUGAGAGAGAGGAGACGGGAUCUGGACUCAAACUCCACCUGGGCCUCGAGGAUCGUAAGAAGCUGCACGAGUUUGAGGAGAAGUGUGUGGAGGUUUAUGUUCAUGAGCGACGUGAAGGUUCUCACAGCAGCGAGGCCGAGAGGAUCCGAGCCACCGCUGACAGAGCAGAGGAGAUGUGUGUGAUCUUGGGCGAGGUCUCAGAGAAGGUCGACGUGAUCCAGGACAGUCUGUUAGCUCUGGACGCUCAGCUGGGUCAGCUCCAGGAUCUCUCCGCUCUGGCCAUGGACACGCUGACUCUGCUGUCGGCCUCUGACAGCGUUCAUCAGGAGGAAGCUCGUCUGGCUCAGUGUGGAUCCACUGCAGCUCCUCCUCACGCUCCUCCUCACGCUCCUCCUCACGCUCCUCCUCACAGCUGGACGUUCCUCCACAGAAGCACAGGAACCGAGCACGACGAUGCUCACGUCAGGCGGCUGACAGCUCAGUCGGGUAAAAGCACUCCUUCGUCUUUGAUUGGUUUGACUGUGGCGGCGAGCAGAAGGACAUCGUUACAGGAGGUGGAAGACAGGGGGCGCAAGAGAGUGAGACAAGAAGACGAGGAGGAGAAGAGAGAGAGAGGAGGAGAAGAAGGAGAAGAGGAUCCUCAGUCUGAGACCUGGUCUGGAGUUUGUAGACCUGCGUCUCAUCAUCAUGGACAUUUCUCUCAGACACCGUGUGAGUCCUGUGCUCCGUCCCGAUGUGGAUCUCCACAUCUUAAGUUCUGGAUCGGUGAUCCUUACCUGUAUCCCAGUCAGGAGGAAAUCUCCAUGGAAGAAGAAGAAGAAGGAGAAGAUGACGGACAUGAGGGACAGGGACAGGGACAGAGACAGAGAAUGAAAUUGUCCAGAAACUCCAGCACUGCUGUGCUUCUGUCUGAUCCUCGCGACGUCUCUGAAGGUUUCGUCAAUCCUGCCUUUUCUCAGGACAGCAGUCGGCCGACGUCUCCGUCCAGAUCUUGUCACGCGUGGGGACGUCCCGUGAAGGUGUCCCGGUGGACAUGCGUGUCCAGAGACCGUCCGUACGGCUACUGUCGCUCGCUGUCGUCCAGCAUGGAGAACAUGGCCUUCUGUGGAGCGCCGCUCAGUCCCACCAGAGGCUCCUUUCCGUCGCUCUGCGACGCCGUGAGGUCAGGGGGGCGGAGCUUCAGGGACGACGCGACGAUGCGCUGCAGUGGCAGCAAAGAAUGGUCCAAGUCCUCUGACUUCAGUCCAGCCUCAGACAGCAGAGGGAAAACUCAGAGCAGGAAGACGGUGAAGAUUCAGGAGAGAAGUCCAGACUCUGGACGUUUGAAUUUGUCAGACAUCUGCUGGAGGAGGAGACGCUGGCUGAGAGGAGAAGCCACGUGUUUGUCCGCGUCGACGAGCCUCAGUCAGCUCAAUUUUGAGCCCAUGGAUCUGCUGCAGAAACAAGUGUUUUCCCAUCAGGACGUGUGGAGUCCCACUCACUCAGCGUGGAACAGCAGGGCUCGAUCCAUGAGUCGCAGAUCUUCGUUACAGAGUAACAUCAACCCUGAAGUAAAGAGUUCAUCGUUUCAGUCCACUGAUCAUUUACAUCCUCAUUAUUCAGCUGUGGAGAGAAACAACCUGAUGAGAUUGGCUCACACUAUUCCCUUCACUCCUGUUUCCAUUUUAGGAGGUGAAGAGGUCAGCGUCUACUCUCUGGACGAAGUCUCCUCUGUCCCUGACUCUGUCCCUGUCCCUGAGGACAGCUCAGUGUCCUCCUGGUCGUCUCAGGCUCUCUCUGCCGUGCUGCAGCCUCUGUCCAGUGAAGAAGGUUCUCUGGACGGUGGUCUCCGGCUGGGACGCAGGGUCCUGUGUACGUGGGCAGAGAGGGACGUGCUCAGACCUGGUCUGGUCUACGUGGUCAAGGCCUUCAGGCCGGAGGUGGUUCGGUCGUGGCAGAGACAGUUCCACGGCAGCACGGUGCUGCAGCUCUGUCUCAGGGAGAUUCAGCAGCAAAGAGCUGCUCAGAAGAUGAUGAAGAUUUUUAACCAGAACAAACCUGAAGAUCUGCAACACACACCCAGGUUCUUGGACGUGUCUCUGGUCCUGUGGCAUUCAAACGGUCAGUGGUUGACCAUCGAGAGAAACAUGCCUGGUGAAUUCAGGAAGUACAACAACAACACCGGGGAAGAGAUCGCCCCCUGCUGCUCUUUAGAGGAAACACUGCUGGCGUUUUCUCACUGGACGUUUGAGUAUUCAAACCGAGAGCUGCUGGUGCUGGACAUACAAGGUGUGGGAGAAGAACUGACUGAUCCAACUGUCAUUAUGGCAGAAAACCAAAGUGGAAACAGAGGGGAGAUGCUUUUUGGAGCCGAUAACCUCGGAGACGCUGCCGUCCGUGGUUUCCUGCAGAAACACUCCUGCAGCAGCUGCUGCCGCAGACUCGGCCUCAGAGAUUUAAGGAAGAGCGUGGACGACUGUGAGAUCAGCAGCAGCAGCAGCAGCAGCAGCAGCAGCAGCAGCAGCAGCAGCACCGAGGCAGAGCUGACGCCAAACGCAGGGUCUGACCUUUGACCCAGCAAUAAACGUUAAACGGUUACUCACUGUGAAGAGGAAGCUCCAUGUGCACAUUCACCGAAAAACAAGAAAAACAAAACCUCGAAACACCCGAACAACCGGAACAGUUUCAGGGAAACGCAGCCAAACUCCUGCUCACACUACUGCUCUCUUUCAAGUUACCAUCCAUAAUGAAUGGACAGCUCCUGUUCAGAGCUGAGAUGAUGGGAUGUAUGUACAGUGAGCUGCUGCUGCUGCUGCUGCUGCUGCUGCUGCUGCUGCUGCUUCAGUCAAACAUGGAGGAAAUGGUGCGAGUUUUAAUGGAAAAAGUUGUGAAGCAGAGAGGCAACUUUUAGAAAAACACGUUUCAUCCAGUGGACUCUAAAAGAACAGAACAUAGCUUGAAUUGUGAUUGGAGUAUUUUUACCAUAUUUACCUUAGCUCAUUAUAAUAAUAAUAAUAAUAAUAAUAAUGAUAGGGUUGCAAAGACAUUUUGAUUAAUUAAUUAAUUAUUAAUUUAUUACUCAGUUAAUCUUUAACUAUUUUUAAAAAUGUAUCAUCAGUUUGAGUUUCUAUAAUAAUUCUAAUCAGUUUGAGUGAUUUUUCAGCUUCUUGAAUGUGAAUAUUUUCUGGUUUCUUUGCUCCAUAUAAAUCAUUAAAACUGAGUAAUUUUG
RNA transcript from Solea solea (common sole), 7757 nucleotides. It is a transcript of the gene named transient receptor potential cation channel, subfamily M, member 6, with no coding region annotated. Lineage: Eukaryota; Metazoa; Chordata; Actinopteri; Pleuronectiformes; Soleidae. The record is from RefSeq and is a predicted model, not a curated record. The transcript is spliced from 42 exons.